CUGCAGCUCAAGUGGUGACCGUUAUUAUUGGGCCUAAAACGUCCGUAGCCGGUUUAGUAAAUGCCUGGGUAAAUCGUGUAGCUUAACUAUACGAAUUCCGGGUAGACUGCUAAACUUGGGACCGGGAGAGGCUAGAGGUACUCCUGGGGUAGAGGUGAAAUUCUGUAAUCCUGGGGGGACCACCAGUGGCGAAGGCGUCUAGCUAGAACGGGUCUGACGGUGAGGGACGAAGCCCUGGGGCGCAAACCGGAUUAGAUACCCGAGUAGUCC
RNAcentral lists this ribosomal RNA (270 nucleotides) under uncultured archaeon. Its description in RNAcentral is "partial 16S ribosomal RNA". It matches the Rfam family "Archaeal small subunit ribosomal RNA", at positions 477 to 747 of the family's 1478-position model. The record is from RNAcentral.